Non-coding RNA from Python bivittatus (Burmese python), 1265 nucleotides. The record is from RefSeq and is a predicted model, not a curated record. Lineage: Eukaryota; Metazoa; Chordata; Lepidosauria; Squamata; Pythonidae.
CUCUCCGGUCAGGGAAAGAACAGUAUAAGGCAGCCCUUCCCUUUGGAUAGAAAUCCAGAUUGGGAGGAAAAGGGAGCGAUGGCGGUCAGUGACUUCCAGGGAAAGGAUACAUCGACAAGGUGGACCCCAGCUCCCAUCGCCCACAGCUACGACGGCUGGCCGGGAAGUUCUCUGCUUUACACGGCGAAGCGAAGCAACAGCCCACCCCAUAAAGCCUGUUUCGAUCAGUGUUCUGCAAGGAAACUUUUGUGCCCGCUCACGGGCCCGGACCGGUGCCGAAGAAACGGGGUCGCUUGCAGACCGAGCAAAUCUGAGAGGCGCUGAAGGGCACCCUGAAGAUGGUGCACCUGACCCUCGGAGGCCCUUGUCCAUCUGCGGCCUCCGUCCAUGGGCCAGGCCGAAACUUGUCAGGCCAAGGGUGGCACUGAACACUGAGCCUGCUCGUCCUUGGUGGUCCUCUGAACAAAACAAGCCCCAGCCCCAGGCAAAAGUCAGCAGGAGGCUUUAUGCUAAGCAGAGUUGGAUCGGGUAGGGCUUGGAUGGAAGACCAUGAGUAGAAGCAGAGCCAGAAGAGAUCCAGGUCCACCACCUGGGAGGUCAAAACAGCCUCGUGGCUAACCGCUUCUCUACUGUUGCCAAGAGGACUGCCUGCCGUGCGCCCACGUCAUUAUUAGGAGUUCAGUCUUGACUCCUGGGAAACGUCUCCCCAAAUCACCCUCUCAAAUUGGCAAAGACUCUGAGCAGCGAUGGCCGUUGAGAGAGCAAACCACGCCUUCGUCACAAGGAAAAAGAGAUCUGGAUGGAAGGUCUGGUCUUCGCCAAUGCCCCCGUCACAUUUAGCACUUCGCUGAAUGCCCGCCAGAUCCCAGGACCCCUCCACUCUGGGGUGCGAAUCGGGGCCUGGAAGAAGCACACGGGAGAUGCCGCUGCAGGAGAUCCCAGCGCCCGAGGGCCUGGGGCACUGACAGGGAGCCCGUGGCCAGCGACCGAUGCCAGCUCCCCUGAAAAGAGGAAGAUGAAUAGCGGAGCUGGGCGCCCUGUUCCAAGGCUCUGCCAAUAUUUUUCUGUUUGUCAGGGUUCAACUUGAGCGUGCAGCUCCAGAACGCCAGGGCUGCCGUGUUUAGAAGAGAGGCCGUUCAGAAAGGAAACCUGGCCUGUCGCGGGAGACUGCUCCUAAUGGUCUGAAAAUAAACCUAAUAUUUGUCUUGGCUCCCUGUUACCUUUCAAUACAUGCUUCAGACUGAGCCCAGCCAACUCCAGCUUUU